Long non-coding RNA from Cervus elaphus (red deer), 229 nucleotides. RefSeq lists it as uncharacterized. The transcript has 3 exons. The record is from RefSeq and is a predicted model, not a curated record. NCBI's taxonomy places the organism in Eukaryota, Metazoa, Chordata, Mammalia, Artiodactyla, Cervidae.
CAGGAAUGGGCAAAUUUAAUUCAGAUGAUCAUAUCUACUACUGUGGGCAAGAAUGCCUUGGAAGAAAUGUAGUAGACCUCAUAGUCAACAAGAAAGGCUGAAAUGUGGUACUUGGAUGCACUCUCAAAAACGACAGAAUGAUCUCUGUUCAUUUCCAAGGCAAACCAUUCAAUAUCACAGUAAUCCAAGUCUAUGCCCCAACCACUUCUGCAGAAGAAGCUGAAGGUGA